RNAcentral lists this ribosomal RNA (460 nucleotides) under uncultured bacterium. Its description in RNAcentral is "partial 16S ribosomal RNA". It matches the Rfam family "Bacterial small subunit ribosomal RNA", at positions 338 to 795 of the family's 1533-position model. The record is from RNAcentral.
CCUACGGGUGGCAGCAGUGAGGAAUAUUGGUCAAUGGACGAGAGUCUGAACCAGCCAAGUAGCGUGAAGGAUGACUGCCCUAUGGGUUGUAAACUUCUUUUAUAUGGGACUAAAAUGUUCCACGUGUGGGAUUUUGUAUGUACCAUAUGAAUAAGGAUCGGCUAACUCCGUGCCAGCAGCCGCGGUAAUACGGAGGAUCCGAGCGUUAUCCGGAUUUAUUGGGUUUAAAGGGAGCGUAGGUGGGUUGUUAAGUCAGUUGUGAAAGUUUGCGGCUCAACCGUAAAAUUGCAGUUGAAACUGGGAGUCUUGAGGACAGGAGAGGUGGGCGGAAUUCGUGGUGUAGCGGUGAAAUGCUUAGAUAUCACGAAGAACUCCGAUUGCGAAGGCAGCUCACUGGACUGCAACUGACACUGAGGCUCGAAAGUGUGGGUAUCGAACGGGAUUAGAUACCCGUGUAGUC